GUAGGGAUCUUCCACAAUGGACGAAAGUCUGAUGGAGCAACGCCGCGUGAGUGAAGAAGGUUUUCGGAUCGUAAAACUCUGUUGUUGGAGAAGAAUGUAUCUGAUAGUAACUGAUCAGGUAGUGACGGUAUCCAACCAGAAAGCCACGGCUAACUACGUGCCAGCAGCCGCGGUAAUACGUAGGUGGCAAGCGUUGUCCGGAUUUAUUGGGCGUAAAGCGAGCGCAGGCGGUUUCUUAAGUCUGAUGUGAAAGCCUUCGGCUCAACCGAAGAAGUGCAUCGGAAACUGGGAAACUUGAGUGCAGAAGAGGACAGUGGAACUCCAUGUGUAGCGGUGAAAUGCGUAGAUAUAUGGAAGAACACCAGUGGCGAAGGCGGCUGUCUGGUCUGUAACUGACGCUGAGGCUCGAAAGCAUGGGUAGCAAACAGGAUUAGAUACCCUGGUAGUCCAUGCCGUAAACGAUGAGUGCUAGGUGUUGGAGGGUUUCCGCCCUUCAGUGCCGCAGCUAACGCAUUAAGCACUCCGCCUGGGGAGUACGACCGCAAGGUUGAAACUCAAAGGAAUUGACGGGGCCCCCCCC
This 580-nucleotide ribosomal RNA is filed under the name Lactobacillus sp. RNAcentral describes it as "bacterial SSU rRNA". It matches the Rfam family "Bacterial small subunit ribosomal RNA", at positions 355 to 926 of the family's 1533-position model. The record is from RNAcentral. Lineage: Bacteria; Bacillati; Bacillota; Bacilli; Lactobacillales; Lactobacillaceae.